This 419-nucleotide ribosomal RNA is filed under the name bacterium. RNAcentral's name for it is "partial 16S ribosomal RNA". It matches the Rfam family "Bacterial small subunit ribosomal RNA", at positions 355 to 776 of the family's 1533-position model. The record is from RNAcentral.
UGGGGGAUAUUGCACAAUGGGCGAAAGCCUGAUGCAGCGACGCCGCGUGGGGGAUGAAGGCCUUCGGGUUGUAAACUUCUUUUGCUCUGAACAAGGCGCACCAUGGGGUGUGUUGAGUGUAGGGGUUGAUUAGCGCCGGCUAACUACGUGCCAGCAGCCGCGGUAAUACGUAGGGCGCGAGCGUUGUCCGGAAUUAUUGGGCGUAAAGGGCUUGUAGGUGGCUGGUUGCGUCUGUCGUGAAAGCUCAUGGCUUAACUGUGGGUUUGCGGUGGGGACGGGCUGGCUUGAGUGCAGUAGGGGAGGCUGGAAUUCCUGGUGUAGCGGUGGAAUGCGCAGAUAUCAGGAGGAAUACCGGUAGCGAAGGCGGGGCUCUGGGCUGUUACUGACACUGAGGAGCGAAAGCAUGGGGAGCGAACAGG